Molecule: long non-coding RNA, 1736 nt
Organism: Alligator mississippiensis (American alligator)
Lineage: Eukaryota; Metazoa; Chordata; Crocodylia; Alligatoridae
Exons: 3
Source: RefSeq, a predicted model, not a curated record
GUGGCUUUAAGCCUCCUGACAGGCCGGUAGCCAGGGGGAGCUCAUCGGUCAGGGCUUAGGCACCCGGGUCAGAGCCUGGGCUAGGUGUGAUAUAGGAGUGGGAGUUUUAGUUUUAGUAUUCGCUUCCUUUUGCGGGCUAGCUCAUGGUUGUAGUGUUGUGGAGGCCUCAGGACCAUACGGGCUAGGGGCAUCGAGAAACCAGGAGGGGUGAGACCCCUAGGCAGAUUCCAGCCUUGGUAGUUUGGAUCCCUGGAAUAAGGACCACCGGGAGAUUCAGGACCGGAAACGCGGCAGGGCCGCUGGAGGAAGGCCACUAGAAGACCAGCAGCAGAAGGUGGCGAUUGGCCGGGGUGUAGGGGAGGUCGGAGCCCCGUGAGUGCCCACCGAAGGCGUGACGACCCCGGGAGGCGGCAUUAACGGAGACCCCCACCACUGAGGUUACAUUCAAAGUCAUGGCAGGCGAGGUUAGGGGUUCUCCCGUCACCACCUGAGGCACCUCCCGGGGCCCUCUCGUGAGCUCGUGGCCAGUGAGAACGGCCACUCGGGCUAGAGCAGCCCGAGAGCGCCUGGUCAAGCGGAGGCGGGCACAUAGUCAUACAAGUACUUAUUCAACUUCUUGCAUAGAUUUUGAAGAUCAUGUUGAGGACCUUGAUGCCACAGCUGAACCAUUAUCAGUAUCUGGACUAGUUUAAAGUAAACUCAGAUGUCUCCAUGCUACACAGUCGCUGUAGGAUAGGAACACCUUGACACCACCUGUGACUCCCUUGGUCACAACCCAGCAGCCACGGAGCACCCCACCGACACCCAGCACAGCCAGAGCGCCGCAGUCACGACGCGGUUACUAAAAUAAGGGAGCAGCUGCCAGAGAUGAAGACAUCUGGGAAAUGGAUGACGGAAUAACCUCAGGCAGCCAAUAAGGAGCCAGGAAAGGGAAAUAAAGAGGGGAGGAAACUUCCCAAGGGUGCCUUUGGGCACACACGUGUGAGGAGGAACUAGAAGGCAUGCACUCCUAAACGAAGUUGGUAAUUCUGGAGGGAAUCGAGACAUCCUUCCCUGGAUCGGGUCAUACCUGAAGCAGACAGCCUCGACCGUGAUUUAGAAAUGGAGCAGCAACGCGGAAACCCCCUCAGCUCCGAAGUCUCAGUGGGGGUGGAUUGCCACGAGCUAGGGGGGAGAAGAGGAAAGAAAGAGGCAGAGAGAAAAAGGGCAAAGAAGCUCCGACAUUGCCCUGUAGCCCGACCCCGCACAGGAGGGUGAAGGGGAAGCAGAGGCUCCAGAAAGUGAAAGGAAAGAGAAAGGAAAUUGACGAAGCCGUGCUUCUCAAGGUGGCACAAGCCACAGCCGGGGAAUCCCCGAUAGGUGUUAAUCAGCUGCUAAUUGCCUUGUUAGCAGCUGAUUAUUGAAGAACAAGCAAAGAAGAAGCCCUGCGGGGUUCCCAGACUGCAGGCAGUGAGUACCCCGGAGGCGAUCCCCGGGGCAUUCACACCUAACGUUAAUAAAGAACUGGCAAUUAAGACCUGACCCGCGUAUUCAUUACCGGGGUACCAGUAUAUAACAACUGUUCCUCCCGACCCAAAAAUUGAAUUUAGAUCAAGUCGUGGCAGGCGGGAAUCGGGGGAGCUACCAGAAAAAACAGGUACCCAGGACGGGCACGCUGACACUUAUGAUAGAGACACUGAUAGGCUUCCACAUUGUUUUAGAACUGUAGGUAUAUUAAUAAAACAUUGCACAACUGA